AAACUUUUAAUACAUGAUGAUUCGUUUGAACAUGAUGGUGUUUAGGGACCAUCGCUACUUUUCAAAGCUUUUCAUUUAAAAGCUUUGUGUUUCCUUGCUCUUGCCACGUCCACUAAAGGACGUGGGCUUUAGGUGUUUAAAGCGUAAACUAACGCUCACACCUGUAACGUAAUAAAAGAUUGAGGUGUUUAAAGCGUAAACUAACGUUCACACCUAAAACGUAAUAAAAGAAUAAAAUAAUAUGUUAGUAGAAUUUAAAUUCAGAGAGGUGAAGACUCCUACCUUAGAAAACUUUUGAGAUUUUUUCUCUGGUCGAAACACAGUGAACUCCUCUCUCGAGCCGAAUUUUUAUCGGAAGCUCCCUCUCAAAUAUUUGUGAGUAAGUGAC
RNAcentral lists this long non-coding RNA (388 nucleotides) under Amborella trichopoda. RNAcentral's name for it is "long non-coding RNA (ATRI_LNC002273)". The record is from RNAcentral. Lineage: Eukaryota; Viridiplantae; Streptophyta; Magnoliopsida; Amborellales; Amborellaceae.